Molecule: ribosomal RNA, 246 nt
Filed under: uncultured bacterium
Lineage: Bacteria
Description: partial 16S ribosomal RNA
Rfam family: Bacterial small subunit ribosomal RNA
Source: RNAcentral
UACGAAGGGUGCAAACGUUGCUCGGAAUUAUUGGGCGUAAAGCGCACGUAGGCGGCUUAGCAAGUCGGAUGUGAAAUCCCUCGGCUUAACCGGGGAACUGCGUCUGAUACUGGAUGGCUGGAGUGUGGGAGAGGGAUGCGGAAUUCCAGGUGUAGCGGUGAAAUGCGUAGAUAUCUGGAGGAACACCGGUGGCGAAGGCGGGUCUCUGGGCAGUAACUGACGCUGAGGAGCGAAAGCGUGGGGAGC